UAGGCAGCAGUGGGGAAUCUUGCGCAAUGGGCGAAAGCCUGACGCAGCCAUGCCGCGUGAGUGAAGAAGGCCUUAGGGUUGUAAAGCUCUUUCGCUCGUGAAGAUAAUGACGGUAGCGAGACAAGAAGCUCCGGCCAACUCCGUGCCAGCAGCCGCGGUAAGACGGAGGGGGCAAGCGUUGUUCGGAAUUACUGGGCGUAAAGCGCGCGUAGGCGGGUUGAACAGUUGGGGGUGAAAGCCCGAAGCUCAACUUCGGAACUGCCCUCAAUACUUUCAGCCUAGAGUGCGAAAAGGGUGAGCGGAAUUUCCAAUGUAGAGGUGGAAUUCGUAGAUAUUGGAAAGAACACCAAAAGCGAAGGCAGCUCACUGGGUCGCCACUGACGCUGAGGCGCGAAAGUGUGGGGAGCGAACAGGAUUAGAUACCCUGGUAGUCCACACUGUAAACGAUGUCUACUAGCCGUUGGGGAUUAGUUUCCUUAGUGGCGCAGCUAACGCGAUAAGUUGUCCGCCUGGGGAGUACGGCCGCAAGGCUAAAACUCAAAGGAAUUGACGGGGA
RNAcentral lists this ribosomal RNA (556 nucleotides) under uncultured bacterium. Its description in RNAcentral is "bacterial SSU rRNA". It matches the Rfam family "Bacterial small subunit ribosomal RNA", at positions 345 to 919 of the family's 1533-position model. The record is from RNAcentral.